AACGAACGCUGGCGGCGGGCCUCAUACAUGCAAGUCGAGCGCGUGUAGCAAUACACGAGCGGCGUACGGGUGAGUAACGGGUGGAUAACCUACCUCUGGGUGGGGGAUAACGGCUGGAAACGGCCGCUAAUACCGCAUACGGUUACCGGUCCUUGGACUGGUAAAGAAAGGGGCCUCAAAGCCUCGCCGGGAGAUGGGUCCGCCUUCGAUUAGCUAGUUGGUAGGGUAAUGGCCUACCAAGGCGAUGAUCGAUAGCCGAACUGAGAGGUUGAUCGGCCACACUGGAACUGAGACACGGUCCAGACACCUACGGGUGGCAG
This 320-nucleotide ribosomal RNA is filed under the name uncultured Candidatus Sumerlaeota bacterium. Its description in RNAcentral is "bacterial SSU rRNA". It matches the Rfam family "Bacterial small subunit ribosomal RNA", at positions 29 to 351 of the family's 1533-position model. The record is from RNAcentral. Lineage: Bacteria; Candidatus Sumerlaeota.